This 455-nucleotide ribosomal RNA is filed under the name uncultured bacterium. RNAcentral's name for it is "bacterial SSU rRNA". It matches the Rfam family "Bacterial small subunit ribosomal RNA", at positions 28 to 473 of the family's 1533-position model. The record is from RNAcentral.
GAUGAACGCUGGCGGCAUGCCUAAUACAUGCAAGUCGAACGGGAUAUCUUCGGAUAUCCAGUGGCGAACGGGUGAGUAACACGUAGGUAACCUGCCCAUGUGCCCGGGAUAACGCCUGGAAACGGGUGCUAAAACCGGAUAGGUAUCGCUUCUGCAUGGAAGAGAUAUUAAAGGAGCUGCAAGGCUCUGAACAUGGAUGGACCUGCGGUGCAUUAGCUGGUUGGUGAGGUAACGGCCCACCAAGGCGACGAUGCAUAGCCGGCCUGAGAGGGCGGACGGCCACAUUGGGACUGAGACACGGCCCAAACUCCUACGGGAGGCAGCAGUAGGGAAUUUUUCGUCAAUGGGGGGAACCCUGAACGAGCAAUGCCGCGUGAGUGAGGAAGGUCUUCGGGAUCGUAAAGCUCUGGUUGUAAGAGAAAAACGGCACUCAUAGGGAAUGAUGAGUGAGUGAU